Molecule: transfer RNA, 65 nt
Filed under: Marphysa tamurai
Lineage: Eukaryota; Metazoa; Annelida; Polychaeta; Eunicida; Eunicidae
Description: tRNA-Asn
Source: RNAcentral
UAAGUGAAAGCCAAAUAGGCAACUAUCUGUUAACUAGUCCAUUGCUAACUUUCUAGCUCACUUUG